GCCGGGCAUCGAGGCAUGUGUCUGUAGUCCCAGCUACUUGGAAAGCUGAGGCAAGGAGAACUGCUCGAGCCCAGGAGCUCUGGGCUGUGGUGCGCUGUGCUGGUUGGUUGUCUGCACUAAGUUUGGCAUCAAUAUGGUGACCUCCUGGGAGCCAGAUUGCCUGAGGAGGGGUGAACCAGCCCAGAUUGUAAACAGAGCAGGUCCAAGCCCCCAUGCUAAUCAGUGAUGGGAUUAUGUCUGUGACUAGUUACUGCACUCCAGCUUGGGCAAUACAGUGAGACCCUAUCUCU
Aotus nancymaae (Ma's night monkey) is the source of this 290-nucleotide unclassified non-coding RNA. It matches the Rfam family "Metazoan signal recognition particle RNA". Rfam says of the family: The signal recognition particle (SRP) is a universally conserved ribonucleoprotein. NCBI's taxonomy places the organism in Eukaryota, Metazoa, Chordata, Mammalia, Primates, Aotidae. The record is from Ensembl.